UCGGCGGACGGGUGGAGUAACAUGUGGGUAACCUACCUAUAAGACUGGGAUAACUUCGGGAAACCGGAGCUAAUACCGGAUAAUAUUUCGAACCGCAUGGUUCGAUAGUGAAAGAUGGUUUUGCUAUCACUUAUAGAUGGACCUGCGCCGUAUUAGCUAGUUGGUAAGGUAACGGCUUACCAAGGCGACGAUACGUAGCCGACCUGAGAGGGUGAUCGGCCACACUGGAACUGAGACACGGUCCAGACUCCUACGGGAGGCAGCAGCC
Molecule: ribosomal RNA, 268 nt
Filed under: uncultured Staphylococcus sp.
Lineage: Bacteria; Bacillati; Bacillota; Bacilli; Caryophanales; Staphylococcaceae
Description: partial 16S ribosomal RNA
Rfam family: Bacterial small subunit ribosomal RNA
Source: RNAcentral